ACUGUUUUUCACUUAGUCUUUCAACACAGACUGAAUGGCCAGAUUGAUUCUCACUACUAAAUUCCCAUCACAUGAUUUACACUAGCAGGCUCUUGCUGUAAAGUUAUAGCAGGGAGCUGGUCAGGAUGCAAAGACACAACACCAAAGAUUAAACUACACAGCUCAAGAAACGUGGAAUCCCUGUUUGCGUAGGCUUUUUUUUGUUGUUGUUUGUUUGUCUUUUUGUUCUCAGAAUAACUUUCUUUGUGACGGGCUGUGUAGGAUAUCUGGCUCUGUCUGACAGGAGGCUCAGCUGAACACACCAGCUCUAUCACACAGAGGUGCUGAACUGAGGGCUGAAGGUUCCAGGAUUUGCAGUUCAAACUGAAGAUCUGCUCCCAAGCUCUGCAAAAAUGAGAAGCAGAAACCCUGUUUGAAGUCAGCAUUGUCAGAGUUUUAUAAAUCCUGCUGCAGAGCUCCAACUGGGCUGCACUCCAAGAGCAUUUAUUUGGAUAAAAACCAAAAUAAAAUAAAAAUGAAACUCACCCUGUAACCUAUUCCAUUGCUCCCUAUUCUUCCAGACUUACUUAAAAAAACCUUCUAGAGAAGAGCUAUUUGCUCAGAAAAGUGAAAUCUGAAGACUGGUAGCAAUAAAAUAAUAUUUGAGUA
Catharus ustulatus (Swainson's thrush) is the source of this 648-nucleotide long non-coding RNA. RefSeq lists it as uncharacterized. The transcript is spliced from 2 exons. Lineage: Eukaryota; Metazoa; Chordata; Aves; Passeriformes; Turdidae. The record is from RefSeq and is a predicted model, not a curated record.